GGGAGCCGGUGUGUCCAGGACGCCCUUGCGGAGUGUCUGCUGGAGGGAGCCGGUGUGUCAGUGAGAUGGCUAUGCCCCUGGGCUGCUGCGUCCCAGGUUUCCUCAGUCUCUAACCCUUUGUUCUCACAGGGGAUGGACUCUUCCUUCUUUUCCCAACUCCACCAAGAGGGACCGUCCCAGGACGUCCUUCCCUGGGCAUCCAGCCCUACAGCUGCCUGAGGUCUCCAUCACCGUUGGCGCCAUCAGUCUGCUGUGCAGCCAGCUGUUGGUUUGGAGAGCCUGAAGAACUGCAGUUCACGUCUCAUCUAAAGGAGCUGAAAUGAUAUUGCAGCUUUCUCUUUUGGUUGCGUGCGGUGAGAAUCUGGGAGCUGAACCUGUUAUCUGCAUGGUCUUCAGAAAUCAGGCAAACUCGGAAAAUGCCAACGCCAAAAAUGCUGAUGGGUGACAAAGUGUCACAGGUGUGAUGCAUUACAAAUCUCAGGACUUUUGUUCACUGGAUUUGAAAGGUCAAGCUUCACAGGAAAAUGAUGAAGUCCCAAAAGACCAGAAAUAUAUUUCAGAAGAUGCCAGUUACUGCUUUAAAAUGUCAAACCAACAUUUCAGAAAUAACUUUCAAUGAUUAUUUCCUGCCAAGAAGGUGAACGCUGGAGACCUUAAUGGUGGAAGAUGGAGGGCGUCUUUCCUUCUGUUAAGCUGACAACUUGGCUUCCAUCUUGUGAGGACCUCACCCUACCUGGUGGCAGAGGACGUCUGACGCCCUCAAUCAUUGCCAUUACACUUCCCAGCCUGGUGGUCAGUCUCCUGGGGUCUGUGUGUUAACAAACCAUCGACUGGACAAUCGCAGUUUUCCUUAUGAAGGCUUACUUUAAAAAGGCUCUGGAUUUUCAGAAGUGAAGUCGCUUUCAUCCCCGAUUCAGACCCAUCCUCGUGGAGGAAAAAUCCUACCAGAAGAAGGGCUGACCAUAGGAACUUGCCAUUUCCUUGACCCCAUCAUAUCUGAGGAAAAAACAACAGAAAAGGUCGAAACCCACGUGUACCCCCAACGUCCUGAUUGACGACUUUGCCUGCAGCUUCUGCUUUCCUGAAAUUCGCUGCUGCCUUUAGAACCCUUGUCUGCAGCCAGUGGGGGGGAGUUCAGGACUUAGGCGGAGCUGCCCCACCCUCCUGCUUGGCACCUUGCAAAUACAUGCCCUCCCUUCCAUUGCUGCAGACCUCAGAGUGGGCGUCCGGUCUCCUGUGUGGGAUGAGAAUACACGCCCUCCUUUCAAUCGCUGCAGACCUCAGAGUGGACGUCCGGUCUCCUGUGCGGGAUGAGAAUACACACCUUCCCUUCCACCGCUGCAGACCUCAGAGUGGACGUCCGGUCUCCUGUGUGGGAUAAUACACGCCCUCCUUUCAAUCGCUGCGGACCUCAGAGUGGGCGUCCGGUCUCCUGUGCGGGACAAGAAUACACUCCUUCCCUUCCAUCGCUGCAGACCUCAGAGUGGACGUCCGGUCUCCUGUGGGGGAUGAGAUACACUCCUUCCCUUCCACUGCUGCAGACCUCAGAGUGGACGUCCGGUCUCCUGUGUGGGAUGAGAUACACUCCUUCCCUUCCAUCGCUGCAGACCUCAGAGUGGACGUCCGGUCUCUCUGUGCGGGCCAAGUGUACACAGUUUUGUUCCGUCACAACUUCCACAACAGGCCAGUGUGAGGUUUUUGAGCUGGUGCUGACUGAAAACUGUCAGCUGCCCAAGGACCUGGGAGCUCUGCUCCCCACUCCUGGUGUGCGGGCUUGCGCCUGGCCUCCCUGCCUAGGUUACAUGCAGUGGUCAUCCCGGUCGCUCCCACACCCGUGUGGGCUCUGGGAUCCCCCCUUCCAGCCAGCCCAGGGGACAUCUGGCUGUCUCAGGACCCAGCCAUCUGUAAAAAUUAGGCAGGUCCCUUUAGUAUGCUCCUGGUCAACAAAGAAAAACUUCAAUUUUGAGAAUGGCAUCUGUAUUCCGAAGUGUUCUCUCAGAUGUUUGAGUUCCACUAAGUAGAUUUUCUUAGUCUGCUGUAUCAAUGACACAGAGAGAUGUGCAUUAAAACCUCAACCAUGUGGAUCUAUUUCUUUUCAGUUAAUUUUGCUUCAUGUAUCUUGAAGCUCUGUUAUCAGGUGCAUGCACAUUUGGGAUUGUUAUGCUUCCCUGAUGAACUGACCUUCUUUCAUUAUGCAAGGGGAAGAAGAUGCUGCAUACAGGAUGGAAUAUCCAGGGGAAGACGUCUAAGGAGAGAUGCCCAGCUGGGAGUCCUAUGCAAGGGGAAGAAGAUGCUGCAUACAGGAUGGGAUAUCCAGGGGAAGAUUUCUAAGGAGAGACACCCAGCUGGAAGUCAAGAUAUGUCAGUUGUUUCCAUUAUAAUAAAACCACUCAUGUUAGAUGAGCUGAACUUUCCCUUUUCCCCAGUUCUUAUGAUCAAAAAGUGGCUGUCCUAAAUUUCCUCACUCAAUAUCCUUGCUAGAGUCUUCCUUUGUCAGCCAGGCUGGAGUGCAAUGUGCAAUGGCACAAUCUUGGCUCACUGCAACCUCUGUCUCCUGGGCUCAAGCAAUUCUUCUGCCUCAGCCUCCUGAGUAGCUGGGAUUACAGGGCGCUGGGUGCCCUUCCAGGGUGACCUCACGGGUGCCCACUGCAGUUCCUGCUUCUCCCCACGGGAACUGAGCUGCCGCUGGGAACACAGCACUCACUGUGCACAGUUCUGCACGUGGACUUACGUGGACACCACCCGCUUGCAUUCAUUCCCUCCUCCUCAUCUCUCCCUUGCUGAGAGGCAGCGUGCCUGCCGAACUCUUCGUGCUGUUUCUGCAGUGCUCACGUGUGGUCACACAGUUAGACGGCUGGCCAGAUGACGGAUGGAUGACACGACGCAGUGCAGACUGGGCGUGGCUGACCACCACACGUGCCCCUGGAGCCAUGGGCCGCCGGCUUCAUUUCCAGGGCGGUGUUACAAUCAAAAGAAUGAACACAUCAAGAGUGAUUUCAAGUCCAACCCCUUCCCUUUGUUUUCUGCACAGCUUGGAGGCCGUGCCCAGGUCCUGGAUGCUCCUGGUGACCUUUCCUCUUUGCGCUUUGCUCUCCUGCUUGGAGCUCCACGCUACUCCCUCCUGUUGUACUGAACCUGGCCCUCGUUGCCCCUGACGAGGGAAGUCCCUGUCCUCUCAUGGCUUCCUUCUUCUCCCCUUCCCUCAGAUUCUUCGUAAUAAUUAUACAAUACUAAUUCCAAACGGAAACUGGAAGCAUGGAGCCUAUGCCGGCGUCUCCAGCUUCUCCAGAGGUAGGAAUGGACACUCAGGUCUCUACUGCUUGCUGAUGGAUUUGGGAGAGUGUGAUCCAUCCAAGCCAUGCGAAAAUCUGCACAACUGAGUCAUGGGACAGCGGAGCUUUGUGAUAUCGCGUGCUUUUAAAUCCGAAAGGACAGUCAUGAUUUAAGGAUUUGAAAGUCACACAUUUAACAUCUGGAUUCACAGUCAUAGGUCUUAAACCAUGAUAGCUUGUGCUUCUGAGGUGCACUGAAUUCAUGCGUGGCUUUCCUAGACUUUAUCCCAUGGAACCUUCAUGUGUCAGGCUAUGUAGAGCCCUGAAUCUCAAAGGGAGAGCUUGGUCCCAGCAGGUCUCAUUAUUUUGUAUUAUAUUUUAAUAGUUUAUUUUCCCUCUUGCUUCUUCA
RNAcentral lists this non-coding RNA (3681 nucleotides) under Pan troglodytes (chimpanzee). The record is from RNAcentral. Lineage: Eukaryota; Metazoa; Chordata; Mammalia; Primates; Hominidae.